GGUUUGUUUAAAUGUACUUGGUUUUGCUCAUGGUUUUGUUUAUUUUGUGAAGUGGUUCUUGAGGCUGUUAUGUUUAGAUACGCCUUGAAUUUUGAUGAAUAUGCAUGUUUAAUUAGAUUGAAUGCUAAAUGAUUCAUUUGGCGCAUUUUGAAUGCAGGGCAGAUUAUGUAGGACUUUGGUUAUGUUAACUGAUCCGGUGAUCAAAACAAAACUUAGCUAUGAACUCAGGACUAAGUCUCAGCUAGAGUUACUAUGGAAGAAAGACAUGUUAGGAUAUAGUAAGUUAGGUUAAUUUGUAAGUUAUUUUCUACACUUAAUUCUAAAUGAAAUUUAAUGGUUAUUCUUGUUAAGCUAAAAUGGGAUGUUAGUGAGAAAAUGGUUUAAUUAAAUUAUGAUUCUGCUAUUGGAUUUGCAGGGAGGAAGUUUAUGUAACCAAAUUGCGGGGUCCCAUUAGGCUUUCAAUCAUUGGUUCAUCUGCGCGAAUUUCUUGCAGGUUAAUGCACCCAUGUGAUGGAUUGAGUAAGGAAAAUCGUGACUUGCUUUGGAAGGAACAUGUUCAAAUGAAGAUUCAAGUGAAUGGACGACUUGUAGGAGAAAUAGGAGUUAGGGUUCAAUAACAUGAAUGCAUGAAGUAUAAUGGAUGAAUGCAGGUAAAUCACAAGCCACAGAUUGGAUAAAAUAUAAAAGGGGGGAGGGUAAAUUUUGGGGUACGACAGCUGCCCCUAUUUAAUCAGCUUAAACCUGAAUGGACAAAUUGCGAGAGCUUUUCGGAUAUUCAAGGUAUGGGUGGAUUAAAUACCAAAGUAUCAGAAAAAUUUCCCAUUGAGGACGGUUAUAUGGGAUGUAGGGAUGUCGACUUGACUUUUACAGGUGCAUCUGCUGAUGAUUUUAUUGGGAUAUUGAUGGAAAAUGAAGGUCAUCAUAUGCAUGUUAUGUGUAUAUUUUACCACUUUAUGAAACAUGGGGCCAUGUAUGCUAAUCAGAGCUCAUACGUUCUCAGAAUACCAUUGCAAUCAAGGGAUUUCAAAAUGAAUUGUCAGUUCAACAAUUGGAAACAAAAUCAAACAUAGAGGUUUGAAAAAGAACGGUCAUCAACCUUAUAGGUUGGGAAAAAGGUUUGUCAACCAUG
RNAcentral lists this long non-coding RNA (1129 nucleotides) under Lathyrus oleraceus (garden pea). Its description in RNAcentral is "Pisum sativum (pea) long non-coding RNA (PSAT_LNC031791)". Lineage: Eukaryota; Viridiplantae; Streptophyta; Magnoliopsida; Fabales; Fabaceae. The record is from RNAcentral.